GACGAACGCUGGCGGCGUGCUUAACACAUGCAAGUCGAACGGAAAGACUCUGACUUUGCGGGUCGCUCGAGUGGUGAAGGGGUGUGUAACCCGUGAGUAAACUGACCCUGAAUUAGGGUUAACUACACGUAACUGGGGCUACUACCGGCUAGGAGCACUUGCAGCAUGGUGGGUGUUGGAAAGUUUCGGAGGUUGGGGAUGGUCUCGCGGCUUAUCAGCUUGUUGGUGGGGUAGUGGAUUACCAAGGCUAGGACCGGAAGCGGGCCUGAGAGGGUGGCCGGCCACAGUGGGACUGAGAUACGGCCCAGACUACUACGGGAGGCAGCAGUGGGGAAUAUUGCACAAUGGGCGGAAGCCUGAUGCAGCGACGCCGCGUGCGGGAUGACAGCCUUCGGGUUGUGAACCACUUUCGCCUGAGACGAAGCGUGAAUGACGGUAAUGUGUAAAGAAGCACCGGCUAACUACGUG
RNAcentral lists this ribosomal RNA (468 nucleotides) under uncultured bacterium. Its description in RNAcentral is "partial 16S ribosomal RNA". It matches the Rfam family "Bacterial small subunit ribosomal RNA", at positions 28 to 507 of the family's 1533-position model. The record is from RNAcentral.